This 465-nucleotide ribosomal RNA is filed under the name uncultured bacterium. RNAcentral's name for it is "partial 16S ribosomal RNA". It matches the Rfam family "Bacterial small subunit ribosomal RNA", at positions 338 to 795 of the family's 1533-position model. The record is from RNAcentral.
CCUACGGGAGGCAGCAGUGGGGAAUAUUGCGCAAUGGGCGAAAGCCUGACGCAGCGACGCCGCGUGAGGGAUGAAGGUCUUCGGAUCGUAAACCUCUGUCAGCAGGGAAGAACGGUCACUGUGCUAAUCAGCAGUGAAUUGACGGUACCUGCAAAGGAAGCACCGGCUAACUCCGUGCCAGCAGCCGCGGUAGUACGGGGGGUGCGAGCGUUAAUCGGAAUUACUGGGCGUAAUGCGCUCGUAGGCGGUAUGGCAAGUCAAGGGUGAAAUCCCCGCGCUCAACGUGGGAACUGCCUUUGAAACGGGGAAACUGGAGUGUGGGAGAGGAGAGUGGAAUUCGAGGUGUAGGAGUGAAAGCCGUAGAUAUCUGGAGGAACAUCAGUGGCGAAGGCGACUAUCUGGCACAUAACUGACGCUGAGGAGCGAAAGCGUGGGUAGCAAACAGGAUUAGAUACCCGUGUAGUC